RNAcentral lists this long non-coding RNA (1256 nucleotides) under Callithrix jacchus (white-tufted-ear marmoset). RNAcentral describes it as "lncRNA (ENSCJAG00000071231.1)". Lineage: Eukaryota; Metazoa; Chordata; Mammalia; Primates; Cebidae. The record is from RNAcentral.
AUGUGGCGGGCAACGGUUGGUCAGUUUAAACUGCCGGGCGGCUGGAAGCUGGGGAGAGCUGAUGAGGCAGGUGGUGAUUGGUCAGCUGGUUGCUGGAUGGGAGGUGGCUGCAGCUGGGCGGGAAGGCCAGAACGCCAAACUGCACUCAGUAUAAAUUACCAGGAUGUCCCAGGGACUUUAACCCUGUGUGUGGCAGUGACAUGUCCACUUAUCCCAAUGAGUGUACUCUGUGCAUAAAAAUCAGGUAACAUAAUUUUACAACUGUAAAAUUUUUCUUCAUUACUUUGUUUUUUGCUUGUUUGUUUCUUUGUUUUUUGAGACAGAGCCUCACUCUGUCACCCAGGGUGGAGUGCAGUGGUGAAAUCUUGGCUCACUGCAACCUCUGCCUCCUGGGUUCAAGCAAUUCUCAUAUCUCAGCCUCCCAAUUAGCUGGGAUUACAGGCACUACCAUGCCCGGCUAAUUUUGUGUUUUUGGUAGAUAUGGGGUUUCAUCAUGUUGGCCAGGUUGGUUUCAAACUCCUGACCUCAAGUGAUCCACCUGCUUUGGCCUCCCAAAGUGUUGGGAUUACAGGUGUGAGCCACCAUGCCUGGCCUCUUCAUUUCUUUUGUUGGAUUUUGAUUACUUAGGAGGUAAUGUCUAUUUUCUUGUAUAUAAGUAUCAAAAGUGACAUGGUAGUUCUCAGUUUUAGGGUGUUGGUUAAAAAGAUGCAAAAUCCUCAUUGCAUUUUUCAAGCCAAGUUAGAGAAUGAGAUGUAAUCAAAUUAUAUUAUUGUCCAUGAAUUCGAAAUUUUCUAAAAUUCAGAGUCUACUGAAUAAUUAAACUCUGUGGAGUAUUAAAUUUUAUUUUUAAUUCAAAGGGCUUGUGUGGGUGAUCUGCACACCCUGUCCUAGUAGUCAGGAAGUAGGACUUACUGAUUCUACUUAGUGGAAUGCUAAGUAAUGAGUGUAUUAUACUUGAUACGCUUUAUGUAGCACACCUGACCAGGUGACUGUGACUGCUUCUUCAGGUAUGCAGCUUUGUAUAGAACAGGGAUUCAUUAUCUGACUUCAGUUGGUCUUCUCUGAUUCUUUUUUUUUCUUUUUGAGACUGAGUCUCACUUGUCUCCUGGCUCACUGCAACCUCUUCCUCCCAGGUUCAAGUGAUUCUCCUGCUUCAGCCUCCUAAGCAGCUGGAAUUACAGGCAUGUACCAUCACACCUGACUAAUUUUUGUAUAUAUAUAUUAUGUUUUUUUAUUUGGAAUUUUGCUCUUGUUAC